This 351-nucleotide ribosomal RNA is filed under the name uncultured bacterium. Its description in RNAcentral is "bacterial SSU rRNA". It matches the Rfam family "Bacterial small subunit ribosomal RNA", at positions 8 to 349 of the family's 1533-position model. The record is from RNAcentral.
AGAGUUUGAUCCUGGCUCAGGAUGAACGCUAGCUACAGGCUUAACACAUGCAAGUCGAGGGGAAACGGCAUCGAAAGCUUGCUUUUGAUGGGCGUCGACCGGCGCACGGGUGAGUAACGCGUAUCCAACCUGCCCACCACUUGGGGAUAACCUUGCGAAAGUAAGACUAAUACCCAAUGACGUCUCUAGAAGACAUCUGAAAAGAGAUUAAAGAUUUAUCGGUGAUGGAUGGGGAUGCGUCUGAUUAGCUUGUUGGCGGGUAACGGCCACCAAGGCGACGACCAGUAGGGGUUCUGAGAGGAACGGUCCCCACAUUGGAACUGAGACACGGUCCAAACUCCUGCGGGAGCA